AGGUAGCGAAAUUCCUUGUCGGGUAAGUUCCGACCCGCACGAAAGGCGUAACGAUCUGGGCGCUGUCUCAACAAGAGACUCGGUGAAAUCAUAGUACCUGUGAAGAUGCAGGUUACCCGCGACAGGACGGAAAGACCCCGUGGAGCUUUACUGUAGCUUGAUAUUGAGCACUGGUGACACAUGUACAGGAUAGGUAGGAGACGAAGAAGCCAGGACGCCAGUCUUGGUGGAGUCGCUGUUGGGAUACUACCCUUGUGUUACUGGGGUUCUAACCCGUGGCCAUGAUCUGGUCAGGGAACAGUGUCAGGUGGGCAGUUUGACUGGGGCGGUCGCCUCCCAAAGAGUAACGGAGGCGCCCAAAGGUUCCCUCAGAAUGGUUGGAAAUCAUUCGAAGAGUGUAAAGGCAGAAGGGAGCUUGACUGCGAGACCUACAAGUCGAGCAGGGACGAAAGUCGGGCUUAGUGAUCCGGCGGUGCUGAAUGGAAGGGCCGUCGCUCAACGGAUAAAAGCUACCCUGGGGAUAACAGGCUGAUCUCCCCCAAGAGUUCACAUCGACGGGGAGGUUUGGCACCUCGAUGUCGGCUCAUCGCAUCCUGGGGCUGUAGUCGGUCCCAAGGGUUGGGCUGUUCGCCCAUUAAAGCGGUACGCGAGCUGGGUUCAGAACGUCGUGAGACAGUUCGGUCCCUAUCCGUCGUGGGCGUAGGAAAUUUGAGAGGAGCUGUCCUUAGUACGAGAGGACCGGGAUGGACACACCGCUGGUGUACCAGUUGUUCUGCCAGGAGCAUAGCUGGGUAGCUACGUGUGGACGGGAUAAACGCUGAAAGCAUCUAAGCGUGAAGCCCCCCUCAAGAUGAGAUUUCCCAUUCGAAAGAAGUAAGAUCCCUUGAAGACGACAAGGUAGAUAGGUCAGAAGUGGAAGUGUGGUGACACAUGGAGCGGACUGAUACUAAUCGAUCGAGGACUUAACCAA
RNAcentral lists this ribosomal RNA (970 nucleotides) under human gut metagenome. RNAcentral describes it as "bacterial LSU rRNA". It matches the Rfam family "Bacterial large subunit ribosomal RNA", at positions 1954 to 2925 of the family's 2925-position model. The record is from RNAcentral.